CAGCCGCCGCGGUAAUACGAAGGGUGCAAGCGUUAAUCGGAAUUACUGGGCGUAAAGCGUGCGUAGGCGGUGAGUUAAGUCUGCUGUGAAAUCCCCGGGCUCAACCUGGGAAUGGCAGUGGAUACUGGCUCGCUAGAGUGUGUCAGAGGAUGGUGGAAUUCCCGGUGUAGCGGUGAAAUGCGUAGAGAUCGGGAGGAACAUCAGUGGCGAAGGCGACCAUCUGGGACAACACUGACGCUGAGGCACGAAAGCGUGGGGAGCAAACAGGAUUAGAUACCCCCGUAGUCCCUGUCUCUUAUAC
RNAcentral lists this ribosomal RNA (301 nucleotides) under uncultured bacterium. RNAcentral describes it as "partial 16S ribosomal RNA". It matches the Rfam family "Bacterial small subunit ribosomal RNA", at positions 509 to 807 of the family's 1533-position model. The record is from RNAcentral.